AGUCACUGACAUUAGAUACCCCUGUAGUCCAGGGUGUAAACGCUGCAGACUUGGUGUUGGAAGCCCUUUGGGGGCAUUCAGUGCCGGAGAGAAGUUGUUAAGUCUGCCACUUGGGGAGUACGUCCGCAAGGAUGAAACUUAAAGGAAUUGGCGGGGGAGCACCGCAACGGGAGGAGCGUGCGGUUUAAUUGGAUUCAACACCGUAAACUCACCAGGGAAGACUGUUACAUGAAGGCCGAGAUGAAGACUCUGCUAGAUUUUCAG
Molecule: ribosomal RNA, 264 nt
Filed under: uncultured archaeon
Lineage: Archaea
Description: partial 16S ribosomal RNA
Rfam family: Archaeal small subunit ribosomal RNA
Source: RNAcentral